This 406-nucleotide ribosomal RNA is filed under the name uncultured bacterium. RNAcentral's name for it is "partial 16S ribosomal RNA". It matches the Rfam family "Bacterial small subunit ribosomal RNA", at positions 30 to 526 of the family's 1533-position model. The record is from RNAcentral.
AUUGAACGCUGGCGGCAGGCCUAACACAUGCAAGUCGAACGAGUGGCGGACGGGUGAGUAAUGUCUGGGAAACUGCCUGAUGGAGGGGGAUAACUACUGGAAACGGUAGCUAAUAUCGCAUACCAUCAGAUGUGCCCAGAUGGGAUUAGCUAGUUGGUGGGGUAACGGCUCACCAAGGCGACGAUCCCUAUCUGGUCUGAGAGGAGGACCAGCCACUCUGGAACUGAGCCACGGUCCAGACUCCUACGGGAGGCAGCAUUGGGGAAUGUGGCACAUAGGGCGCAAGCCUGAUGCAGCCAUGCCGCGUGUAUGAAGAAGGCCUUCGGGUUGUAAAGUACUGUCAGCGAGGAGGCGUUACCCGCAGAAGAAGCACCGGCUAACUCCGUGCCAGCAGCCGCGGUAAUUC